Molecule: ribosomal RNA, 297 nt
Filed under: uncultured bacterium
Lineage: Bacteria
Description: partial 16S ribosomal RNA
Rfam family: Bacterial small subunit ribosomal RNA
Source: RNAcentral
GAUGAACGCUGGCGGUGUGCCUAAUACAUGCAAGUCGAACGAGACCUUCGGGUCUAGUGGCGGACGGGUGAGUAACACGUUGGUACCUGCCCCUAAGUGGGGAAUAACUGCCCGAAAGGGUGGCUAAUACCGCAUAAUCCCGCAAGGGUAAAGUCGCAAGACGCUUAGGGAGGGGCCUGCGUCCCAUUAGCUAGUUGGUAGGGUAAAAGCCUACCAAGGCGACGAUGGGUAGCUGGAUCGAGAGGUUGACCAGCCACACUGGGACUGAGAUACGGCCCAGACUCCUACGGGAGGCAG